Long non-coding RNA from Dinoponera quadriceps, 529 nucleotides. RefSeq lists it as uncharacterized. Lineage: Eukaryota; Metazoa; Arthropoda; Insecta; Hymenoptera; Formicidae. The transcript has 3 exons. The record is from RefSeq and is a predicted model, not a curated record.
CCCUAUAAGAGAAUGGUGAAGAUUCAAUGCGAAAGAAUUAAACCAAAGACACGAGCAGACGUCGAAGUUCACUUGGAUGGGAUUAAGCUAUACAGCAAAAACUGUAGAACUAAGGAAAAUAAAAUCUGAUUCCUAAACAACAAAAGUGAUAUUUCCAGCUAUCGUCGGAUUGGGUUUCACACAUGCGAUAAAUCACUGCAAUGGCUUAAUACAGUAACGAUGCGGGAGAGAGAUAAUCUGCACCGCAUUGAGAGACGCUGCAGAUUAAUCUUAAAUGAUUUAACAUCAGUCAUCAUGACGAGAAAUCGAAUAAAUAAUGGAACAAAUCGAAAAGCGAUACAACAAAUCAUUUCCGUCAAACUAAAUAUUACGCUAGAAUUUCAAGUGCAACGUUACAUCAACACAAGCACAGAUUACAGCUACUGAUCUAUUUUGUACCUGGUGUAUGCUUCUUCCUCGUUUGAGCUGUGCAAUUGUCAAAUGAAAUAAUUAUUGGUAAACUUGACUGAUAAGAAACGUAACGUAUCUC